GGCAGCCGCCGCGGUAACACCGGCAGCCCAAGUGGUAGCCACGAUUAUUGGGUCUAAAGCGUCCGUAGCCGGCCAGGUAAGUUCUUUGGGAAAUUUAACCGCUCAACGGUUAAGCUUUCAGGGAAUACUGCUUGGCUUGGGACCGGGAGAGGUCAGAGGUACUUCAAGGGUAGGGGUGAAAUCCGUUAAUCCUUGAGGGACCACCAGUAGCGAAGGCGUCUGACCAGACCGGGUCCGACGGUGAGGGACGAAGGCUAGGGUCGCGAACCGGAUUAGAUACCCGGGUAGUCCUAGCUGUAAACGAUGCGGGCCAGGUGUUGGCAUUACUGCGAGUGAUGUCAGUGCCGAAGGGAAGCCGUUAAGCCCGCCAUCUGGGGAGUACGGUCGCAAGGCUGGAAACUUAAGGAAUUGGCGGGGGAGCACCACAACGGGUGGAGCCUGCGGUUCAAUUGGAGUCAACGCCGG
This 465-nucleotide ribosomal RNA is filed under the name uncultured archaeon. RNAcentral's name for it is "bacterial SSU rRNA". It matches the Rfam family "Archaeal small subunit ribosomal RNA", at positions 457 to 921 of the family's 1478-position model. The record is from RNAcentral.